UAAGGACCGGCUAACUACGUGCCAGCAGCCGCGGUAAUACGUAGGGUCCGAGCGUGGUCCGGAAUUAUUGGGCGUAAAGAGCUCGUAGGCGGCGUGUCACGUCUGCUGUGAAAGACCGGGGCUUAACUCCGGUUCUGCAGUGGAUACGGGCAUGCUAGAGGUAGGUAGGGGAGACUGGAAUUCCUGGUGUAGCGGUGAAAUGCGCAGAUAUCAGGAGGAACACCGGUGGCGAAGGCGGGUCUCUGGGCCUUACCUGACGCUGAGGAGCGAAAGCAUGGGGAGCGAACAGGAUUAGAUACCCUGGUAGUCCAUGCCGUAAACGUUGGGCGCUAGGUGUGGGGACUUUCCACGGUUUCCGCGCCGUAGCUAACGCAUUAAGCGCCCCGCCUGGGGAGUACGGCCGCAAGGCUAAAACUCAAAGGAAUUGACGGGGGCCCGCACAAGCGGCGGAGCAUGUUGCUUAAUUCGACGCAACGCGAAGAACCUUACCAAGGUUUGACAUCACCCGUGGACUCGCAGAGAUGUGAGGUCAUUUAGUUGGCGGGUGACAGGUGGUGCAUGGCUGUCGUCAGCUCGUGUCGUGAGAUGUUGGGUUAAGUCCCGCAACGAGCGCAACCCUUGUUCCAUGUUGCCAGCACGUAAUGGUGGGGACUCAUGGGAGACUGCCGGGGUCAACUCGGAGGAAGGUGGGGAUGACGUCAAGUCAUCAUGCCCCUUAUGUCUUGGGCUGCAAACAUGCUACAAUGGCCGGUACAAUGGGCGUGCGAUACCGUAAGGUGGAGCGAAUCCCUAAAAGCCGGUCUCAGUUCGGAUUGGGGUCUGCAACUCGACCCCAUGAAGGUGGAGUCGCUAGUAAUCGCGGAUCAGCAACGCCGCGGUGAAUACGUUCCCGGGCCUUGUACACACCGCCCGUCACGUCAUGAAAGUCGGCAACACCCGAAACUUGCGGCCUAACCCCUUGUGGGAGGGAGUGAGUGAAGU
RNAcentral lists this ribosomal RNA (981 nucleotides) under Nocardiopsis sp. RNAcentral describes it as "bacterial SSU rRNA". It matches the Rfam family "Bacterial small subunit ribosomal RNA", at positions 487 to 1462 of the family's 1533-position model. Lineage: Bacteria; Bacillati; Actinomycetota; Actinomycetes; Streptosporangiales; Nocardiopsidaceae. The record is from RNAcentral.